UUAAAUUGAAGAGUUUGAUCAUGGCUCAGAUUGAACGCUGGCGGCAGGCCUAACACAUGCAAGUCGAACGGUAACAGGAAGCAGCUUGCUGCUUUGCUGACGAGUGGCGGACGGGUGAGUAAUGUCUGGGAAACUGCCUGAUGGAGGGGGAUAACUACUGGAAACGGUAGCUAAUACCGCAUAACGUCGCAAGACCAAAGAGGGGGACCUUCGGGCCUCUUGCCAUCGGAUGUGCCCAGAUGGGAUUAGCUAGUAGGUGGGGUAAAGGCUCACCUAGGCGACGAUCCCUAGCUGGUCUGAGAGGAUGACCAGCCACACUGGAACUGAGACACGGUCCAGACUCCUACGGGAGGCAGCAGUGGGGAAUAUUGCACAAUGGGCGCAAGCCUGAUGCAGCCAUGCCGCGUGUAUGAAGAAGGCCUUCGGGUUGUAAAGUACUUUCAGCGGGGAGGAAGGGAGUAAAGUUAAUACCUUUGCUCAUUGACGUUACCCGCAGAAGAAGCACCGGCUAACUCCGUGCCAGCAGCCGCGGUAAUACGGAGGGUGCAAGCGUUAAUCGGAAUUACUGGGCGUAAAGCGCACGCAGGCGGUUUGUUAAGUCAGAUGUGAAAUCCCCGGGCUCAACCUGGGAACUGCAUCUGAUACUGGCAAGCUUGAGUCUCGUAGAGGGGGGUAGAAUUCCAGGUGUAGCGGUGAAAUGCGUAGAGAUCUGGAGGAAUACCGGUGGCGAAGGCGGCCCCCUGGACGAAGACUGACGCUCAGGUGCGAAAGCGUGGGGAGCAAACAGGAUUAGAUACCCUGGUAGUCCACGCCGUAAACGAUGUCGACUUGGAGGUUGUGCCCUUGAGGCGUGGCUUCCGGAGCUAACGCGUUAAGUCGACCGCCUGGGGAGUACGGCCGCAAGGUUAAAACUCAAAUGAAUUGACGGGGGCCCGCACAAGCGGUGGAGCAUGUGGUUUAAUUCGAUGCAACGCGAAGAACCUUACCUGGUCUUGACAUCCACAGAACUUUCCAGAGAUGGAUUGGUGCCUUCGGGAACUGUGAGACAGGUGCUGCAUGGCUGUCGUCAGCUCGUGUUGUGAAAUGUUGGGUUAAGUCCCGCAACGAGCGCAACCCUUAUCCUUUGUUGCCAGCGGUCCGGCCGGGAACUCAAAGGAGACUGCCAGUGAUAAACUGGAGGAAGGUGGGGAUGACGUCAAGUCAUCAUGGCCCUUACGACCAGGGCUACACACGUGCUACAAUGGCGCAUACAAAGAGAAGCGACCUCGCGAGAGCAAGCGGACCUCAUAAAGUGCGUCGUAGUCCGGAUUGGAGUCUGCAACUCGACUCCAUGAAGUCGGAAUCGCUAGUAAUCGUGGAUCAGAAUGCCACGGUGAAUACGUUCCCGGGCCUUGUACACACCGCCCGUCACACCAUGGGAGUGGGUUGCAAAAGAAGUAGGUAGCUUAACCUUCGGGAGGGCGCUUACCACUUUGUGAUUCAUGACUGGGGUGAAGUCGUAACAAGGUAACCGUAGGGGAACCUGCGGUUGGAUCACCUCCUUACCUUAAAGAAGC
RNAcentral lists this ribosomal RNA (1556 nucleotides) under Escherichia coli. RNAcentral describes it as "bacterial SSU rRNA". It matches the Rfam family "Bacterial small subunit ribosomal RNA". The record is from RNAcentral. Lineage: Bacteria; Pseudomonadati; Pseudomonadota; Gammaproteobacteria; Enterobacterales; Enterobacteriaceae.